This is a long non-coding RNA of Panonychus citri (citrus red mite), 318 nucleotides long. RefSeq lists it as uncharacterized. The record is from RefSeq and is a predicted model, not a curated record. NCBI's taxonomy places the organism in Eukaryota, Metazoa, Arthropoda, Arachnida, Trombidiformes, Tetranychidae. The transcript is spliced from 2 exons.
UGAUGACGCAAAAAACUAAAAUUGUAACAAUUAAGAUGAUCAAAGUCACACCAAAGGCUGAAAACACAUCUGAUUGUCAAUGAGAGAUGUCACUUGAUGAGGAGAUACAUGAAUAAACAAGUUAUGUGUUAAUUGUUGAAGAUUUACUGGGUUUGAUUGGCGAUUCCAUCAUCUUUUUAUCCAUCAUUCAAGUUGCUCAUCAUAUUCUUUAAAUUUCCAUCUUUCUCUCUGCGGGUCAAUUCAUUUAUAUUUAUCACCAAUUGAAUUUGUAAACAACAUGGAAAUAAAGAUUGAUUUGAUCCUUGAAUUGUCAUCAAA